AUCUGUGCAGAGACUCAAGAGAAUUCCAGAUAAACUCCAGUCCAACUAAACUUCUUUAAUAUAUUUACAUUCUACUAAAAUACAUUCAUUUACAAUCAGCAUAUAUGCAGCUGAAACAGGGAGCAGCCUAGUGCAAAAUCCCAAGUUACAUUAUCAACAUUUACAUUUUAAUAUUUUAACAUUAUAGUCAUUAUAGCUUUUAGUAAAAUGUGUUUUGGGGAGGAGAGUUAUUAAACUCUACCUACAGAGUAAUGAAUAGAGAUACUUUUCACAGUAUUAUCACAGUUUUGUUUACUGGAAGUUUAUUUAGAAGCAUUUCAGCUAUAAACCGAAGAACUAAGACUUUUAUUCUGUAAAGAAUAAUAUCUAUAAUAGAAAUGUGUUUAAUAUAAACUGCUUUUUUACACAGUCAGUACCGUCAUUUCAGAGCUGAGCUCUAACACACUAAAGCACUGUAAUAGUGCAGGAACAGCGCCACCCAGUGGUAGAACUGAACUCUAACAGGUUCUGCUUCUCAGAGACCCGAUAUCUAUAGUGACUGACAGCAUACAGAACUCACUGUGCGCUGCAAAGAGAAAAACACUUUAUUUAACAAAUUUAAAGUUUUUUACAAACACAUAUAUUCUACAAUAAUUAUUGUUAUGGUUCUGCUACUGUACCAUCCACAGAACCCCAUGUAUAAUAUUUUAUGUUAAUAUGAUUAAAAAGAUAUUUGAGAUUUUUAUUAAUAUUUGCUGCCUGUUUCCCACUAGUUUUAGCUGAUAUAGGUCCACCUUUAUUUAGAUAAAUAUUUAUUCCCAUAUAAUGUUCCUGUAAUGUUUAAUAAUAAUAAAUAAUAAUAAAUAAAUAAUAUAAUAAUCAUAAAUAAUAAUAAUAAAUAAUGAGCUGUAAUGACUGUAAACUAUAGAAACUUGUUAACUUGUGUUUUUAUGUUUACAGAUGAGCCUCAGACUAAUAACGGAGCCACAGCAGAAGCGAGCAGCUCCAGUGCAGAGGCGGGACAGGCCACCGGGCCUCAAGUUAAUGAUGUGACAACAGCUGAUGGAACGAAAUCCAGCACUGAAGAACAAGAGGAGAACGAGAGUCCGGAGUCGGAGGAGGCGGUGAAAGCCGCUCCGGUUCAGCGCAACACGAAGUCCAACAACCCUGCGCCGCGCAAACGCAGCAAACCCGUCGCCGCGUCCAAGAAGAGGACGCGGUCCUUCCGCCCGUGAGAUCGGCAGCGCCGCGGGAGGACGCAGACGCUACUACUGAUACCAAGCCAAGAGCACGAGGGCAGAAACACUGCUGUAUCCAGUGGCAUUUCCAUCUGUUCUGAUUAAAUAACCACGAAAUUAGGCCUGAUUCUGUUGGGAUGUACUGUAUUGGGUGUUGUUUCAUUGUUUGUUUGUUUGUUUGUUUGUCUGGUCACUCGUUUUGUGGUGCUGACAAUUUCAGGUCAAGAAGGUAAAACUCCGCCCCGGGAUUUUGGUUAGACUUGUUCGCUGCAGCCGAGCCGCCCAGGGCAGAAUGAAGUCUAGGUGAAAUCCCGGGGCGGAGUUUUACUUUCCGGACCGGAUCUGCCGUGGCACUCAGAGCAGACACAGCACAGUCUGAAGGGCAUUUCACCCUCACGUCACAGAAUCCAAACCCAGACCACCCCUCCACCCCCUGACCGGACCCGACCCAUCCGCCCCGACCCGAACGCUCAGCAGGUCUCAGAGUCCCGCUCAGACGCUCCGUUUCACUGGUGCUGGCUGCCCGAGGGCCGAGUGCCCAGAGCGGCCGUAGCUUUUAGAUAAAUAGAGAAAAAUAAAAAAGUAAUAAACCGCA
RNAcentral lists this long non-coding RNA (1812 nucleotides) under Astyanax mexicanus (Mexican tetra). Its description in RNAcentral is "lncRNA (ENSAMXG00005009414.1)". Lineage: Eukaryota; Metazoa; Chordata; Actinopteri; Characiformes; Acestrorhamphidae. The record is from RNAcentral.